RNAcentral lists this ribosomal RNA (459 nucleotides) under uncultured bacterium. Its description in RNAcentral is "partial 16S ribosomal RNA". It matches the Rfam family "Bacterial small subunit ribosomal RNA", at positions 339 to 795 of the family's 1533-position model. The record is from RNAcentral.
CUACGGGGUGCUGCAGUGAGGAAUAUUGGUCAAUGGCCGAGAGGCUGAACCAGCCAUCCCGCGUGCAGGAUGACGGCCCUAUGGGUUGUAAACUGCUUUUCUACGCCAAGAAAUCCGAUUACGUGUAAUUAGUUGACGGUAGCGUAGGAAUAAGCAUCGGCUAACUCCGUGCCAGCAGCCGCGGUAAUACGGAGGAUGCAAGCGUUAUCCGGAUUCAUUGGGUUUAAAGGGUGCGCAGGCGGGCUUGUAAGUCAGUGGUGAAAUACUGCCGCUUAACGGUAGAACUGCCAUUGAUACUGCAAGUCUUGAAGAUGGUUGAGGUAGGCGGAAUGUGUUGUGUAGCGGUGAAAUGCAUAGAUAUGGCACAGAACGCCGAUUGCGAAGGCAGCUUACUAAGCCAUUAUUGACGCUGAGGCACGAAAGCGUGGGGAGCGAACAGGAUUAGAUACCCGUGUAGUC